GGAAGGAUCAUUAACACUAUUUUAAUCCUUCUUAAUGCCUUUGUUGAACCUGUGAUUCGUCUGUCUUUUUUUCUAAAAACAUUUUUUAUUAUAUUAAAUCUUUUCUUUCACUUGUGAAAGGAAAUCUUUUAAACAAAAAACAACUGCUAGCAUUGGAUGUCUUGGUUCUCGCAACGAUGAAGAACGCAGCGAAAUGCGAUAAGUAAUGUGAAUCGUAGAAUUCAGUGAAUCAUCAAAUCUUUGAACGCAUAUGGCGCUUUUGGGUACUCCCAGGAGCAUACCUGUUUGAGAAUCAUCCCUUUAUCUCAUUCCUAAUUCAUUUUAGGAACGGUCAUUGAGCGUUUUCAUUUAGUUCUAUUUCUAAAUGUCGCUCCAAGUGCAUCUAACAGUUUUAGAUGUGAUUACGUCUUUUUUUUCAAUGGCUUGCUAAGGUUGAGCUUCUCAGCCAUCUUGCUAUUCUUAAGGAUUGACAAUUAGUCCUCUAAAGCUUUGUUAUACUUGUUAAAUCAUUCAAACCAUGAUCUCAAAUCAGGCAAGACUACCCGCUGAAUUUAAGCAUAUCAUUAAGCGGAGGAAAAGAAACUAACAAGGAUUCCCCUAGUAACGGCGAGUGAAGCGGGAAAAGCUCAAUCUUAAAAUCGAAGGGUUACGCUCUUCGAGUUGUAGAGUAUAGAGGCGUCUUCGGGGGAGUGCGCAGGUAUAAGUCCCUUGGAAAAGGGCGUCAUAGAGGGUGACAACCCCGUUCAUGACUUGCGCAUUUCUUCCAUAUGAGGCGCUUUCGAAGAGUCGAGUUGUUUGGGAAUGCAGCUCUAAACGGGUGGUAAAUUUCAUCUAAAGCUAAAUAUUGGCGAGAGACCGAUAGCGAACAAGUACCGUGAGGGAAAGAUGAAAAGAACUUUGGAAAGAGAGUUAAAAGGGCCUGAAAUUGUUAGCAGGGAAGCGAUUAAAACUGGGCAUACGCCUUGGGAUUCGGUUUGGUUUCUGGAGGUGCCAGUGUGUUCUCGACCGCAAGGCCUGGGCAUGCUGUCGUUCUUCAGUGCCUUUCUUAUUUUCUCAGGGUGUGCGUCAGCAUCAGUUAGGUUUUCCGGAAAUGGCCUUUGGGAAGGUAGGCGGGCCUUCACGGGUUCGCUGUUAUAGCCUGAGGGCAGCCCGGUUAGCUUGACUGAGGAAAUGCAGUGCGCGCCAUGCUUGAGGUCUAUUCUAUGGGUUGUGGUAACUCUUAGGACAGCAUCGCUGUGCUUUGGUUGCCUUGGCCUACCUGGGUGGCACCUUUCAUACGCGUGCUCCAGAUGCUGACAUAACGGUUUUAACCGACCCGUCUUGAAACACGGACCAAGGAGUCUAACAUAUAUGCGAGUAUUUGGGUUUCAAACCCAAGUGCGGAAUGAAAGUAAAAGGUGCGAGCCUGUGGGCGUACCACUGGUGCAGCAUCGACCGGUCUGGAGGUUUUCUGAAAGAUCUGAGUAAGAGCAUAUCUGUUGGGACCCGAAAGAUGGUGAACUAUGCCUGAACAGGAUGAAGCCAGAGGAAACUCUGGUGGAGGUCCGUAGCGGUUCUGACGUGCAAAUCGAUCGUCAAAUUUGGGUAUAGGGGCGAAAGACUAAUCGAACCAUCUAGUAGCUGGUUCCCUC
This 1631-nucleotide unclassified non-coding RNA is filed under the name uncultured fungus. Its description in RNAcentral is "sequence contains 18S rRNA gene, ITS1, 5.8S rRNA gene, ITS2, 28S rRNA gene". The stretch from base 519 to 1631 matches the Rfam family "Eukaryotic large subunit ribosomal RNA", at positions 1 to 961 of the family's 3401-position model. The record is from RNAcentral. Lineage: Eukaryota; Fungi.